GACGAACGCUGGCGGCGUGCUUAACACAUGCAAGUCGAACGGAAAGGCCCUGCUUUUGUGGGGUGCUCGAGUGGCGAACGGGUGAGUAACACGUGAGUAACCUGCCCUUGACUUUGGGAUAACUUCAGGAAACUGGGGCUAAUACCGGAUAGGAGCUCCUGCUGCAUGGUGGGGGUUGGAAAGUUUCGGCGGUUGGGGAUGGACUCGCGGCUUAUCAGCUUGUUGGUGGGGUAGUGGCUUACCAAGGCUUUGACGGGUAGCCGGCCUGAGAGGGUGACCGGCGACAUUGGGACUACGAGACGGAGCAGACUCGUACGGGAGGCAGAAGUGGGGAGUAUUGCACAAUCGGCGGACGCGUGAGGCAGCGACGCCGCGUGCGGGAUGACGGCCUUCGGGUUGUAAACCGCUUUAGCCUGUGACGAAGCGUGAGUGACGGUAAUGGGUGAAGAAGCACCGGCUAACUACGUG
RNAcentral lists this ribosomal RNA (468 nucleotides) under uncultured bacterium. RNAcentral describes it as "partial 16S ribosomal RNA". It matches the Rfam family "Bacterial small subunit ribosomal RNA", at positions 28 to 507 of the family's 1533-position model. The record is from RNAcentral.